This 253-nucleotide ribosomal RNA is filed under the name uncultured bacterium. RNAcentral's name for it is "partial 16S ribosomal RNA". It matches the Rfam family "Bacterial small subunit ribosomal RNA", at positions 524 to 776 of the family's 1533-position model. The record is from RNAcentral.
GACGAACCUUGCUAUCGUUAUUCGGAAUUACUGGGCUUAAAGGGUGCGUAGGCGGUGCAGAAAGUCGGGUGUGAAAUCCCCCAGCUCAACUGGGGAACUGCGCCUGAAACUACUGUGCUCGAGGAAGACAGAGGUACGCGGAACUUAGGGUGGAGCGGUGAAAUGCGUUGAUAUCCUAAGGAACACCGGUGGCGAAAGCGGCGUACUGGGUCUUAUCUGACGCUGAGGCACGAAAGCUAGGGUAGCGAACGGG